CACGAAGUUAGCCGGUGCUUAUUCUGUCGGUAACGUCAAGACACUAACGUAUUAGGUUAAUGCCCUUCCUCCCAACUUAAAGUGCUUUACAAUCCGAAGACCUUCUUCACACACGCGGCAUGGCCGGAUCAGGCUUUCGCCCAUUGUCCAAUAUUCCCCA
RNAcentral lists this ribosomal RNA (160 nucleotides) under uncultured bacterium. Its description in RNAcentral is "partial 16S ribosomal RNA". The record is from RNAcentral.